CACCGACAUCAGCGACUCAUUGUGCGAACCGGCACCGACCGCCAGAUAGGCGUUCAUGCCCAGCUCUUUCAUCUGCUGUUCGCCAAUCACGCGGGUGGUGACGUUUUUGCUGUAUGCAUCAGCCAGCUGACGUGCCUGCGACGCCAGAUACGCGGCGUUACAAAUAUUCGGCGGCAUAUUGCUCAGGUCUUUCGC
Molecule: non-coding RNA, 195 nt
Rfam family: Yersinia sRNA 276
Source: Rfam